This 828-nucleotide long non-coding RNA is filed under the name Mytilus galloprovincialis (Mediterranean mussel). Lineage: Eukaryota; Metazoa; Mollusca; Bivalvia; Mytilida; Mytilidae. The record is from RNAcentral.
GGUUUGCAUACAUUUCAUUUAGCAAAAAGCAAUACAGAAGUAAAACGUAAAUUAUGUGUGUCUAUAAGACACGUUUAAAUACCCCAGCCAUAGUUGAUUUAGUCCAAUUAUUAGUUAUAAUGUAUAUGAAUGUAUAUUUGAAAAAAAAUAUCCUAUAUAUAUAUAAAAGAAGAUGUGGUAUGAAUGCCAACGAGACAACUCUCCACUAGAGACCAAAAUGACACAGAAAUUAAUAAUUAUAGGUUACCCUACGGGCUUCAACAAUAAGAUAGGCCAAUACCGCAUAGUCAGCUAUACAAGGCCACGAAAUGACAAUGUAAAACCAUUCAAAAGAGAAAACUAACGGCCCUAUUUAUAUAAAACAUUGAACGAAAAAAAAAUACUAGUAUGUAACACAUAAACAAACGACAACCACUGAAUUACAGGCUCCUGACUUGGGACAGGCACAUUCUUAUAUUAUGUGGCGGGGUUAAACCUGUUAGCGGGAUCCCAACCCCAUGCACUUAACAUGGGACAAUAGUAUAACACAGUACAACAUAAGAACGAACUAUUAAAAUCGUUUGAAAAUGGCUUAACUCAUCAGAUGACAAAACUACAAGUGGACGUGGCCGGGUACUUGUUCAUCCCCAACAAAAAGACACUAUAGGAACAUAUCUCAAAGUACUCGCAGUUAACUGACAGCUAGUUCAAAGCCACCAACAACUAAUAAAACAAAUCAUGUAUCUAAGACUAAAUAUGGACUUGCACAUCACUAUUAUGCGUAUAAACAUCCCAGUUGCGGAACUAGAAAUUUUCAAAAGUGGGUCUCAGUACUGCCGAAAAGGGGGC